AUCCAGCUGACGAGUCCAAAAUAUAACGAAAUACACGUUGUGCUGCAU
This 48-nucleotide non-coding RNA is filed under the name Trichobilharzia regenti. Lineage: Eukaryota; Metazoa; Platyhelminthes; Trematoda; Strigeidida; Schistosomatidae. The record is from RNAcentral.